AAUUAAAAAAGGCAAAUUCAUUGAAAAAUGGAGACGCAAAGCUAGAGGGACUAAGGCGUAAAAGCUAUGUCAGCCAGUUGCCGGU
Molecule: regulatory RNA element, 85 nt
Rfam family: c-di-GMP-I riboswitch aptamer
About the family: GEMM was predicted in a large-scale screen for bacterial structured RNA regulatory elements. Genes associated with GEMM are involved in a diverse array of functions, including chemotaxis regulation, signal transduction, secretion and chitin.
Source: Rfam